CCUACGGGGGGCUGCAGUGGGGGAUAUUGCACAAUGGGGGAAACCCUGACGCAGCGACGCCGCGUGGGCGAAGAAGUAUUUCGGGAUGUAAAGCCCUAUCAGCAGGGAAGAAGAAAUGACGGUACCUGAGGAAGAAGCACCGGCUAAAUACGUGCCAGCAGCCGCGGUAAUACGUAUGGUGCAAGCGUUAUCCGGAUUUACUGGGUGUAAAGGGAGCGCAGGCGGCACGGCAAGCCUGAUGUGAAAGCCGGCGGCUCAACCGCGGGACUGCAUUUGGAACUGCCGGGCUUGAGUGCCGGAGAGGUAGGCGGAAUUCCUAGUGUAGCGGUGAAAUGCGUAGAUAUUAGGAGGAACACCAGUGGCGAAGGCGGCCUGCUGGACGGUGACUGACGCUGAGGCUCGAAAGCGUGGGGAGCAAACAGGAUUAGAUACCCGGGUAGUC
RNAcentral lists this ribosomal RNA (442 nucleotides) under uncultured bacterium. Its description in RNAcentral is "partial 16S ribosomal RNA". It matches the Rfam family "Bacterial small subunit ribosomal RNA", at positions 338 to 795 of the family's 1533-position model. The record is from RNAcentral.